RNAcentral lists this ribosomal RNA (253 nucleotides) under uncultured bacterium. RNAcentral's name for it is "partial 16S ribosomal RNA". It matches the Rfam family "Bacterial small subunit ribosomal RNA", at positions 524 to 776 of the family's 1533-position model. The record is from RNAcentral.
GACGUAGGGUGCAAGCGUUGUCCGGAUUUAUUGGGCGUAAAGAGUGCGCAGGCGGUCGAUCAAGUCGAGUGUGAAAGCCCCCGGCUCAACUGGGGAGGGUCAUUCGAUACUGGUCGACUCGAAGGCAGGAGAGGGUAGUGGAAUUCCCGGUGUAGUGGUGAAAUGCGUAGAUAUCGGGAGGAACACCAGUGGCGAAGGCGACUACCUGGCCUGUUCUUGACGCUGAGGCGCGAAAGCUAGGGGAGCAAACGGG